CCUACGGGUUGCAGCAGUAAGGAAUAUUGGUCAAUGGGGGCAACCCUGAACCAGCCAUGCCGCGUGCAGGAUGACUGCCCUAUGGGUUGUAAACUGCUUUUGUUAGGGAAUAAACCCCACUACGUGUAGUGGGCUGAAUGUACCUAAAGAAUAAGGAUCGGCUAACUCCGUGCAGCAGCCGCGGUAAUACGGAGGAUCCGAGCGUUAUCCGGAUUUAUUGGGUUUAAAGGGUGCGUAGGCGGCACUUUAAGUCAGGGGUGAAAGACGGCAGCUCAACUGUCGCAGUGCCCUUGAUACUGAAGUGUUUGAAUGCGGUUGAAGACGGCGGAAUGAGACAAGUAGCGGUGAAAUGCAUAGAUAUGUCUCAGAACACCGAUUGCGAAGGCAGCUGUCUAAGCCGUUAUUGACGCUGAUGCACGAAAGCGUGGGGAUCGGACAGGAUUAGAUACCCUGGUAGUC
RNAcentral lists this ribosomal RNA (459 nucleotides) under uncultured bacterium. RNAcentral's name for it is "bacterial SSU rRNA". It matches the Rfam family "Bacterial small subunit ribosomal RNA", at positions 338 to 795 of the family's 1533-position model. The record is from RNAcentral.